UAUUUUUACAUUUUAGUCUUUUAUUAUUAACCUUUUACUCUUUUAUUAUUAUUACCUUUAUUACUCUUUCUUUUUUAUCAUGUCCAAAUUGAUAGGAAAAGGGAUGGAAAGCAUGUUGAGGCCCCACCACACAAGCCAGGUCUCACGAUUUUAUACACUCAGCAAGGGUCACGUUUUUACAUCCAUAAGCAAGUCAUAUAGAGAAAUUUGAGGAAGUUUUCUUGGAAAAAUUCAUCUUCACGUGUUACUCUCUUGCAGCAAAUUCACUUGAGAUUUCAAAUUCCAUUUCAAACAAUCACAAUUCAACCAAUCAUGUCCAUUCAUUGAAUCUCAUCAAAGGCUUACAAUUGUCCAAGAAGCAUCACACGGAUUCCUUUUCAAAUCUGUAACAAACUUCUCAAUUCGCCCUCCAAUUUUUCCUCUCAAAUCCUUCACACAAUAUGCACCGAACCUGUUCUAUAAAUACUCACUCAGAUCAUCACAGAAAGAGGAGGAGAAAUAAUAUAUUGUUAUGCUGUUGAAAUCUCAUCAGAAACUCUCCUCCAAAAUCUCAAAAGAAAACUCUCGUACACAAAAACUUCCAUUCAAAUCUUCUUCCAAAAAUUCAUUACACCAAGGUGAUUCACACCUUCAAUUCACAACUUGCAGAUCGAUAACUCAGCUUCAUCGAUUCUUUAUCACCAAUUCCAGAUUCAACUAUUUCAUACAUCAUCAUCAACUUGCAUCAACGGUCGUGUAAUAAGCUCAUAUCCAUCAUCCUUACUUCAACGAACAACAUCAUCAUAGAUCCAUCUGCAACACAGUUUCAGUGUCAUCAACACAUAUCCAAACACCGACUCUUCAUCAACUCUCGCGAUUUAUUUUCGGAGAAGGAGAAUAAAUCGGAAUACAAUGGAUGUGCAUACCUAUCUCUGGCUUUCUCAUCUUCGCAGCUUCUAAAGAGCCACCGGAGCUACUCCGGUAGGUAAGUAUCGGUCCUACUUUUCCUAAGCUUUUGUGUGUAUGUUUGUAUGCAUAUUUGUUUGCUAUAAACUUUGGAUUUGUUGUUGUUGCCGGUUCAUUGGAUGGUUUUUAGUAUUGUUCGAUGUUAUGUUUCUUGAUUUGCUAGUUUGGAAUCGGAACUGAAAAUAAGAACAUAGGAACCGAGUAUAAGAUCUGAGAGGAGAGUUUGAGAGGAUUUCUUUAAGGUGAGAGAUCGGGAGAGAGUUUAGAAACGAGAGAGGCUCGUGAGAGAUGAAGAGGAAGGUCGUUGUUGUUGUGUGUACGACAGAGAAGGAGUUACAGAGAGAUGAGAAAGUUACAGAGUGAGAGAGUCAAGAAGAUGAACAGAGCAAGCAACGUUAGAAAGAGAAAACAGCCAAGAGAAGAGAUGGUUAGCGCUUUAGGUUUUCUUUUCUUUGCUAUAAGUUUAGUUGGGCCUUUAACCCAGCAGCCCAACCCAAAUUCCUCUCUCUCACCCUAUACUUCUUGCGCACCUCCCCUCUGGUGUUUAUUUGAUUUCAAAUUUAGGCCUUAGUGUGCUAGUUUGGGCCAGCUUUUCUUUAGUUUAAACCCCAUUUUAUUUUAAUUCUAUAGCCCAUUCCUCUUGUUUUAUUUUUCUUGUGUGUUAAUUUUUUUUAGUUGAUAUUAAAAAAAUACCAAAACAUGAUCUUAUUUUAAAUUUAGACUUUAUUUUCAUUUUCAUAUUAAAAACCACACAAAUAUUUUAACUUGUUUAUUUUCCUUUUUAUCUCCUUAUGUUUGUAUAUAUUUAUAUUUUAUAUUUUCUUUUCAUUUCAAAAUGCUUUGUUCGAUUUCCUUUUAUUUUCUUUUUAAACACAUGUUAACUCUGUUCCACGACAAUUGCGUGAGUCUCCAAAGGUCGAGCAGCAGUGGAAUGCGACGUUUAACAUCACACACACACAAAAUCUUUUGAGCCGAACUACGGCUGCUCUGAUUCCUUAAUCGGGAUACGUAGGCAUUAGGUCGCGGGGCCUGAACGAGCACAAUCUUGUAUAUAUUUUCUUUCUUUUCCCCGUGUUUCUUUUCUCUUCUUUCUUCGCGCGUUUCCCUUUAGUUUUAGGUUUAUAUUUUUAGAUAACACCCUUAGAUUUAGACUAACAAGAGCGGAUCCCGUCGAGUACGACGGACGUAAGGAGUGCUAAUCCCUUCUCCUUGCGUAACCGACACCCUUACUUGUUUCUCUGGGUCGUAAGACCAUUGUUUGUUUUCUUUAUAGGUUUUAGUCGAUGUUUUACUUUCCCAUUUUUGGGAUAAAUAAAAAAUCGAUGGCGACUUCAUUGAUUUCAUCUUGAUGAUUUCGAUCCAGUUGUUUCAGCUGGCAACUUCACUGGGGACAUAUUGACCUUUGUUAGGCCCAUCCUAAGUGUCAGUCCUAGCCCUUGUUUGAUUUUAUCUGUGGGUGUUUGCUUUCUUUAUGUUUUAUUUGUAUAUUUGUAUAUAUUGCUUUAUUUGUUGUUAUAUUCUCGUUAUCUGUUGUUCUGUAUAUAUACUGUUUUGUAUCUGCUGUUUUUUCUGGUGGGUGGGAUGUUACUGUGGUAAAAGGCCUAAUACCCAGGCUAUGUGUGAACCAUAGGAACACUAGGAUAGAGUGGGAGCAUGGUUUGUCUCGAGGUGUACGCCUCAGGAUGGAUUAUGUGACUACGAGCAGAGUAGUGGUUUUAAAUGGAGGUAUUAUCGUCACCCGCAUCCGCGCUGUGAUGGUACUUACUUUUAGGCGGACCGUAUGCUGCGUUUCUCGACCUUACCCUGACCUAGAUUACACUCGUGAGUGAGGCGAGAAUCAAUUAUUUUUACAGGUACAUUGUUGGUGACUAUGGUUCUUAUUCGAGUGGUUCCGUCUCUGUUUGAUGGUGACUGGGUUCUGAUCCUAUUGGUUACUAUGGUUCUGCUGGUUACUUGUUUGCAUCUGGCAUUACAUCUUGCAUUGCAUGUCAUUGCAUAAUCCUUGCAUUCAUCCAGGUUGCUUAAAACCUCAUUUUUAGUUGUUGCUUCCUUCCAACUAGUUGUUGAUCGUUAAGUUGAUUCCUUGACACGUUGAACUAAGAAGCAUGUAUCUGAAGACUAUGGAAGAAAUUUAACAAGACCAAGAGUUAUUAAGAGCUGAAGUUAACCAGUUGAAAAGUCAGAUGAAUCAGAUCAUGGGAAUCCUGCAGGUCUUAUUGAAUAGAGAAGACAAAGUUCCUUUUGAUGUUUCAAAGCAAGUUGGUGCUCCUAUAGUUAUUCCAAAUUCUACUACAGUCCAAAGGCAAUAUCAUCCAGUGAGCACUCUAGUACCAGCUUGUGGCCCUUCUCCUAAAGAUCUUCCUCAACCCUCAUUCUCAAAACUUCUUGAUCAACAAUCUCUGUCUACUCUACGACAAAGCCAAGGAGAUCAGCAAAAAGGCGAGAAUCUAAACAAACUUCUAAGGAAGCAACAAAAGAAGCCCCGCCACUAUGAUCUUAUUCCAAUGACGUCUGCUGGAUUGUUUCCUCAAAAAGUUCAAGUUCCCCAACCUCGGGCUGCCAACCAAAAUCAGAACCGCGAUAGGACUCACUUUGAUCCUAUUCCCAUGACUUAUACUGAAUUGUAUCCUCACUUGGUUAAAUUGGGUUUGAUCACCACAAGGUCUUUUACUCCUCGAGAUCCCCCUCCUGCUGGAUUCAGGGUUAGUCUUCAUUGUGAGUUCCAUCAGGGAGCUGCUGGUCAUGAUUUAGAGCAUUGUUAUGCACUGAAGGUUAGAGUGAAAGACUUGAUCAAAGGAAAAAUGAUAAGUUUCGACGCUCGUACUCCAAAUGUGAUUUACCAUCCUUUUCCAGUUCCUGACAAGUGAAGCUUCAAUCAAAGUCAGAUUAUCUCCUAAAGCCAAGUGUUUCAGACAGGACAUCUCAUCCUUUUUGCUGAUUAGUCACUAUGCCAUAUUUCUUUACUGUUUGCAUUUAUUUCAAUUGUAAUGUCUGUUUAAUUUCAAACUUGUUUGUUUCUUACUGUUAAUUUUAAUGAAAUGAGCACUGCAUGUUUUGAUUCAAUUCUUCUCAUUUACUACUUUGUUUCUUUCAAAAAAUAAAAAAGUUUCUCUUAUUUGCUUUCUUUACCAUAUUGUUGUUUAUGCAAAGAUUGGAGGGAGGAUGAUGAAAGCAGAAUACCCAUAAUUGUUGUUAGUGUGCUUUUGAAUAAAACUUUACUGAUGAUGUACAUGCCUUGUUUCAAUUCCCAAACACUGGAGAAAUAAGGAAGUUAAUCCCUUGUCAACCCCUCUGAGCCUUCGAAGUUGGAGUUUCUUUUUGAACGAAAAACCCGCAAUUUUAACCUGGGGAUGGGUAGUUUUCAGUUUAUUCAUUUCUACAUUCAAAUACAAGAGUUUCAUUCAAGACACCUUUCAAUAAGGUUGCAAUUUCAAGCUUACCUUCGCAUACAUCAAAGAAAUGUCGAAGACGUCCUUCAAAGUCAAAAGUGAUGAUGAUGGUUCUCCGUAAUUGUUAAUCAGGGCAGUCACUAUCUUGCAAGAAAAAAAAUAAUAAAAAAAUAAGUAUCAAAGAAAAGCCCGAUAAGUCAAAGCCUUUGAAGGAGACUUAGGCAAAAUAAAACUGGGGUAUCCCGCUGACUGUAAAUCUCAAAUAAAACAGUUCAGGCAAAAGUUAGGGAAAUUAGAUGAAAAAGUUGAAAAAAAAGAGAAGUCAAUAAUUCCUAGACAACAAAAUGUUGUAAAAGAAGUGACUGCCACCUCAAAGUAUAUUCCUCGGCUUCUGAAUCAUCAUUGUCAAACAAGUGCUGCAAAUUCCAAGUCCUCUUGAAAACCUGAAUGCAUAGGUUGAAUUAACUGAAUGUAGGAUGGGAGUUCAUCAUGAAGAAGGGGUGGGUACAAAUAAAUUUUGAGCCUUAUGUCCUUUGUUUCUAAAACCGUGAACCAAGUCACGUUACAACCUUCAAAAGUCCUAAUUGUAGCCAGGUUUAAUUUGAAAGCGUACUACAACAAGGUUGCGUUAACCUGACUCCCAAAAGUUGUGCCAAUCAUUUGUCUUGAUCUAUUUGCUUUACUUUUCACUUCAAAUGCCAUGUUUCACCUUUCUCUGUUGCUUUACAAAUCCAUUUCUAUUGAUUUCAAAAACUUGCAUAUUUCUUUGCAUUUAGGUUACCAGUUUUAAACAAACAUUUUUGCCUGUAAACAACAUUCCUCAUUAAGGAAUUUCAAACAGUUGAAGAAACUUGGUCCGUGAUUUUAUUAGGGGCAUUUCAUUUCAAGAUUCAGUUCAAGGUUUAUCUCAGUGCAAGCUAUUCUCAUAUUUGGUUUAUCAUAUCUCUUUCAAGAUUAAUGCUGGGGCAAGUGUUUCCAAGUGUCCAGUAAAGCUGUCAUUUCCAAAUUAUUCAAGCUGAAGCCAUGAUCAGUUGUUCUACAUUAAUCAGUCAAGCUGGGGCAAUCUUCUUCAAAAGAAUCUCCAAGCAAUUUAUCAGUCCCCUCAGUAGGAAAUCAAUUUCCUGCCUGCAGAUUUCAAAACCAGGCACAAAAAACAGAGUGGAAAUCAUUUCCCUCUGUAGGAAAUCGAUUUCCUGCGCACAGUUUUCAAAAAAACAGCAUUAUGGAUUGUGAAACUUGAUUUGGGCAAACAUAUAAACACCUUAUGAUUACAUAUCAAUUGGAGCACGAAUUCUCCAUCAAUUCACCAUCAAAUAGGACCAAUAUAGCAUCAAAGAUGCAUCACACACAAGCACAAACAAAUCACAUUAUGAUAGAUGAAAAAGGAUGAAGAAAAUUACCAAAUCUUGAACAAAACUUAGAUCCACUUCAAGAAUCACCAACACAAAUCUUGAUCUCCCAACAAUUGAAGAAAAAAGAGUGAAAUGGAUGGUGGUUUAGCUCAAAGUUUGUGAGGUUCAAGAUGUGACUCACAAACUUUAUGAAAGAACAAAAGCUUUGGUGAAUUUGGUAGGGAUGAAGAGAGAAAUUGCAAGGGUUUUGUUGGCUUUCCAAGAUUGUGAAAUGAGGGAGUAGAGACCUCUAUUUAUAGGAUUGGAGCAAGAGUAGUGGCAACUUGGUCUUUUUGAAUUUGGUAAUUAAUUUGUGCUUAAUUGGUGUUUAAAUGGUAAAAUGAAGUUAAAAUGGGUUUAAUGAAGGGAAUUAAUUUUGGUGAGGUGGAAAAUUGGUAAAAUGACAAAAAUGAUCAAAGAAAAAAGGUGCCAAAAUGAUGUCAUGCUUUGUAACACCCCAUAUUUUCAUUAAUUGAUUUAAUUUGGAAUUAAAUUAUUUAUUUGAAAUUAUUUGGCAUUUGAUUGGAUUUAAUUGAAGAAUUGUGGAAAAAGAGGUUAUUGGGCUUAAUUUGGUGUUAGUAAAGAGGGGGGUGCUAUGUUAGUAGGCCUUUUACUAAAUUAAAAUAUAUUUUUCAUAAAAUAAGGAAUUGAGGAGAAAAGGAAAAAUAGAUGUGGAAGAGAAGCAGAAGAGUAGAAGUGCUGAUACGUGAAAGAGGAACAGAAGAGGAAGAGGGCUAAUCAAGAUCCUUGGCUAAGAUUGGCGAGUAGCGGCUUUUGGCUCGGUGAGGAUUAGCUCAUGAGUCAGUUCGUUUAGUAUAGCGUCGGUGUCAUGCUCUGAUAUUGUAACACUGGGGGAACGCUAGUUUAGAGUUUAUGAUAAUACUCUAUCGUGUUGUUAUUGUAUUAAUUCUGCGGGAUACUGCAUAGAUGAUGUUAUGCUUAUCCGAAUGAUGAAUUGUCCGCUGUGUUAACAUGAGAUGUUUAUGUAUUAUGAUUUUGUUAAAUGGAUGAUUUUCCCCUAAGUGAAGCAUGGCAAUUGAUUUAUGAUAAUUUGUUUUAAAUUGAAUUGUGGCACCCUUGUUUUCAUGUUUUACUCUGAAUUAUUUUAUUAAUUUCCGCGGGGUUUAGAAGGGUGUUACAAUAGUGGUAUCAGAGCAGGUCGGUCCGUCCGGCCAAUUGUUGAGUCAGUUGAGUUGCGCGGCAGUUGUAUAUUGUCGGCAUAUUAUUCCUUGGUACGCGACAUGUGAGUGAAUCACUGUCGGUACUUGGUUGUUUGUUGCAGGUGUUGGAUUGAAACAAGUGGGGGAGAAGCUUCGCUUCUCGGUUAUGUUUCAGUUGUAAGAAGAUUGAUUCAGUAGGCUGUUGUUGGCAACAGUGCGAGCGUUGUUGGAGUUUGUUGUUUCCCGAAUUGAAGGUGACUUGGACUUAAGACUUCACUGGGAAUUGAGUUGGAACAUCUUGAAGGAAGAUGAUUAGAGGUAAUUGACAGUUAUUGUAAGAGAAGGAAAUUGGAAAGUUGUGAUGUGUCAGCUCUACUGGUGUGCUGCGAUGUUGUCAGUUGUGUAGCCUUACACCUCGGAAGAGAGUCACCUGCAAGUUGCAAAGAGGAUUGAUGUCGUAAUGUUCCAGAAAUUGCGCUUCGGCGAUGGGAAGUGUUGCUCAAGUUAUAAUAAUGUUUGGAAGUGAAGAGAUACGAUAAGGGGCUGUUUGGAAUGUGAUAGAGUUGAAGAGAAUGAGUUUUGGAGAGAGAUUUUCGUAAGCAAAACGCAGGAAAAUUGCUGAAUAGCUGCGGAACUUCGAAAAUUCAUAACUGGAAUUCUGGACAUCCGAAUUGAGUUCCGUUUGAAGCGUUGGAAAGCUAACGAGAUGAACUUUGUUAUAAAAAUAGUUGCAGCAGCUGUAACAUAUUUAAUUGUGACAGGAUGACGUUGGAAAGAGGUGGAGUUACGGUUACUCUUGUUCUUAUAACUAGACUUGUUUAUUGGUACUGCACGGGAUGUCAGUGUUAGUGUCAGUGUUGAAUGGAUCGAAGGAAUAAUUAGAAGGUUUGUUGAGGAGUAAUUUUAAGAAUUGAAUUUACCAAUUGAGGAGUUUUGGAUAUAUCGUAUAGAGUGUCGCUGCAUGAUGUCAGUGUUGCAUUUUUCGGGCAACGAUUGGAAAAUUCAUAUCUUGAGUUCCGAGUGUCGGAUUAACGUGCCGUUUGAACCUAUGAAGAGGAGAGAUUAUGUUCUACAUUAUGGGAAAGUUAUAAGUACAGUAGAUUGAUCCUAUGAGGAGAUAUUCUGAAGACGGUUAAGGAAGCAUGAAACUUGUUGAAUAAGAAUGCCUACUACCGCGAUUGUUUGAAACGAAGUUGAGUAGAACAUGUUGUUGAUGAAUAAGUUGAUGAGAUGUUCGAUCAUAAAGAUGAUUUGAGUACCGAUGGAUUUUAGUGAGAAGUGAAUUAGUAGUAAAGGUGGAAUAAACUUUAGAACGGUUGAAGUCGUAUUUGUGAUGCCAAAGUAACGACAAGUAUAAAAGAAGAAUUGUAGAGAAUUUCUAACACCUAUUGAUAUGAGGAAGACUUUGUUGAGAUUCCGAGUGAAAUAAUAUUGGUAUGCGAAAGAAGUCAUGAGAUUGGGAGUGAAACCACGAGUUAUGAAUGUUGUGUUAUUGUGUUGCGUAGGAAGUCUUUAAAUACGUCGGUGCUAAUGGUGAAGGAGUUGGAUUUAAUUGGACAAUUUAGAGACUUAAGUUGGUAUGUGAAGGAACUCGUAAUAGUGUUAGAUUGGGUAUGCUAGGAGAUUACUAGUGGUAUUCUUGACGAGAUUAGAGAAGGUCAGAAAGCUGAUGCUGAGUUGAUCGACAGGUUGACUUUGAAUUACCAAGGUAGAGGCGGUGGAUUCAGAAUCAACGAGAAUAGUAUAAUGAGGUUGAGUGGUUGAAUUUGUGUUCCUGAUGUUUUGAGCUUCGGAAGGAUAUUCUAGAAGAAGGACACCGUAUUGAAUUAUUGAACUAUGACGAUGUUAAUGAGUUUGGGUGCAAACUCAGAAAGGACACUGUUAUGUAGUAACGACAGUUUAUGCUUAAAUAUGGUUGUCGGCUAUCUAUUGACAAAUUGAGGACUUGAUCACCCUUAAUCUCUUGUUGGUAGUAGACGGAAAUCAUAUAAAUGAGAUGAACUUGUUUUGUUACCUUAAUGGUAUAAGUUGUGAUGGAUAUUAAGCCGUGAGGAUAAUCACUCACUACGUUGUGUGAACUUAUGAGGAAGUGAAUAUGAAAGAGUGCAACAUGAUGGGCAAAUGACUUAAAACGGGUAAUCAGAGUCGUGCAGCGAAAGUGCGAUGUGGAGUAGUGUUAUGAGUACUACUUGGGGGAAGUGAGGAAUUAAUAUGUCAGGAGCUUACCUGGGGAAUAUGUGUCGAUCUAUAUGUUGGAUUUAGAACCCAGUGGAUGUAAGGAUGUCGGGUCGAAGAAUUAUAAAUCUUUUGAAUAAUUGCCGAGAUGAUGAAUAUGUUAUUAUGGUUGUACGUAGUUAACGAGUAUGUAUUCGGCGGAAUUAAAACGAAGAGUUGAUGUUAUAUGAUGCUGUAAUAAUUUUGUGCUGUUAAUAAGGUGAUAUUGUAUAUUCCAGAUAUAAUGAGGAAUUAUACUCCAUGAAGGACGAAGUUGAUUUAAUUAUUAGAAAAGAGCGAGACUCAGUUUAAGCUAUUUUGUAAGCGAUGGUAUAUUAAGGUUGAUGAAUGUGAUUAUAACUACUUGGGUGUACUCGUUCCGAUGGUUGGAAUGUUUUAAUAGAUGUAGUAACUUAGGAAUUUGUUUUUGAGUGCGAGUAAGUAUUGAUAAGUGGUAGAUUAGUACCAUGAAUGGUAAAGAAUGAUUCUUGAACGAAUGAGUAAAGAGAGUUGGAAUCGGUUAAAACUCAGAAAUCUAAUUGGUGUAGAUGGUUGUAAUGAGUAAUCGGAGUAGUGUAGCGGAAGUAGAAUGUAAAGUGUUGGGUGAUUGAUGGAGUGACUUAAGAGGAUCCAGAUAAUUGGAAUUCAAUGAUAUAGGAAUACGAGUAUUGAGUUUCUUGAAGAAAGCAGUUGGUGAAAAGUGUAAGUGUUAUUUUAUCGCUCAGAUGGAAAAAGUGUCUAAGGAUGGUAAGUUCGGUAGAUGGGAUCCAUUACUGUAUUGUUGAUCAAGUGUGAUCAUACUAUAAAUUGUGUAAUUGUAUUACUCGGUUGUUGAGCGUAUUGUAUAGGUUGUACCUCAAUGUUCUGUUGUUGUUAACCUUUUGGGGGUAUAGCGAGUGGUAUACUUUUGAAUAGUCAAAUGCGACGUAAGAACUGGGAUUUGAAUGUAUGGAACAUGUUUCCUGUUGGUUAUGUCAGAUGGAUUUUCGAGGAGUGACUGAUGGUAAUGUUGAUUGGGAGCUGGAGAGUCAGGUGAAGGACUCUUAUACGAGCUGGUUACUUGAGGUAUGUUUUCGAGGACGAAAACUCUUUUAGUGGGGGAGAGUUGUAACACCCCAUAUUUUCAUUAAUUGAUUUAAUUUGGAAUUAAAUUAUUUAUUUGAAAUUAUUUGGCAUUUGAUUGGAUUUAAUUGAAGAAUUGUGGAAAAAGAGGUUAUUGGGCUUAAUUUGGUGUUAGUAAAGAGGGGGGUGCUAUGUUAGUAGGCCUUUUACUAAAUUAAAAUAUAUUUUUCAUAAAAUAAGGAAGUGAGGAGAAAAGGAAAAAUAGAUGUGGAAGAGAAGCAGAAGAGUAGAAGUGCUGAUACGUGAAAGAGGAACAGAAGAGGAAGAGGGCUAAUCAAGAUCCUUGGCUAAGAUUGGCGAGUAGCGGCUUUUGGCUCGGUGAGGAUUAGCUCAUGAGUCAGUUCGUUUAGUAUAGCGUCGGUGUCAUGCUCUGAUAUUGUAACACUGGGGGAACGCUAGUUUAGAGUUUAUGAUAAUACUCUAUCGUGUUGUUAUUGUAUUAAUUCUGCGGGAUACUGCAUAGAUGAUGUUAUGCUUAUCCGAAUGAUGAAUUGUCCGCUGUGUUAACAUGAGAUGUUUAUGUAUUAUGAUUUUGUUAAAUGGAUGAUUUUCCCCUAAGUGAAGCAUGGCAAUUGAUUUAUGAUAAUUUGUUUUAAAUUGAAUUGUGGCACCCUUGUUUUCAUGUUUUACUCUGAAUUAUUUUAUUAAUUUCCGCGGGGUUUAGAAGGGUGUUACAUGCUUCCCUCUUUAUUUUUUUGAAUUUUCGCCCCAGGAAAUCGAUUUCCCAUAUGGGUAAAUCGAUUUCCACCUUCAAAUUUCCAAAAAUUGUUUUCUUACACUGUUUUGAUUUUUGCCCGAUCUUUUACCUGUAAAAUAUAAACAAAAGAGACAAAAUACAUAUUUUUGGAUUUUGGUUAGUAUAAAACAAAUAAAAAGCUAAAAGUGCUUGAUGAUUCCCCUCAGAGAUAAACACAAUAUCAAGAAUGGAGCUUCACAAUGGUGCUCUUGAUUGAUGAUUAAACUACAACCAAUGUAUGAUCUUAGGGUCAAAAAUUGGGGUAUGGCAGUACCCACAUUCUCUUGGGUCCUUUUGGGUUAGUUCUCCUCAAGUUCUGAUUGAACUGAGGUUAAGCAAAAGAUUUAUCAUAUGAUUUUCUGGUGUGUGUGCAACAUGUUUCUUGUUGUGUGUUAUAUGGAAACUCUUAGAGUUAGAUGUGCGCUUUAUA
This is a long non-coding RNA of Vicia villosa (hairy vetch), 11387 nucleotides long. RefSeq lists it as uncharacterized. The transcript is spliced from 3 exons. The record is from RefSeq and is a predicted model, not a curated record. Lineage: Eukaryota; Viridiplantae; Streptophyta; Magnoliopsida; Fabales; Fabaceae.